UUGAUCCUGGCUCAGGAUGAACGCUGGCGGCGUGCCUUAAGCAUGCAAGUCGAACGGGAUUUUGGAGUCGCAAGAUUUUAAUUUUCAGUGGCGGACGGGUGAGUAUAAGUACGGAACGUACCCUAAACUAUCGCAUAGCUCGUCGAAAGACGGGGUAAUUCGGUAUGUGAUCGCAAGAUUAAAGAGCGUAACAACUCGGUUUUGGAGCGGCCUUAUGUCUAUCAGCUAGUUGGUGGGGUAAAAGCCUACCAAGGCGACGACGGAUAGGGGGUGUGAGAGCACGACCCCCCACAAUGGCACUGAGACACGAGCCAUACAUCUACGGAUGGCAGCAACUGGGAAUAUUCGGCAAUGGACGAAAGUCUGACCGAGCGACGCCGCGUGAGGGAUGAAGGUCUUCGGAUCGUAAACCUCUUUUGCCAAGCAGUCGAUGCUUGGAGAAUAAGCACCUACAAACUACGUGCCAGCAGUCGCGGUAAUACGUAGGGUGCAAGCGUUAUCCGGAUUCACUGGGCGUAAAGUGUCGUGUAGGCGGUAUACCGCAUCGUGUCUGAAAGCCCGAGGCUUAACCUCGGCGUUGGACACGAGAUGGGUAAACUUAGAGGAAUGGAGAGGAAAGGGGAACUCAUGGUGAAGCAGUGAAAUGCGUUGAUAUCAUGAGGAACACCGAAGGCGAAGGCACCUUUCUGGCCAUUAACUGACGCUGAGACACGAAAGCUAGGGGAGCGAAGCAGAUUAGAGACCUGCGUAGUCCUAGCCCUAAACGC
Molecule: ribosomal RNA, 767 nt
Filed under: uncultured bacterium
Lineage: Bacteria
Description: bacterial SSU rRNA
Rfam family: Bacterial small subunit ribosomal RNA
Source: RNAcentral